GGAAGUAAAAGUCGUAACAAGGUUUCCGUAGGUGAACCUGCGGAAGGAUCAUUAUUGAAUGAACUUGGAGUCGGUUGUCGCUGGCUGUCUUAUUUGGCAGCAUGUGCACGCCUUCUCUUUUCAUCCACACACACCCCUGUGCACUUGUGAGACUGGAGACCGGUAAAAAAAGUCUUCAGUCUGCUAAAUCCAUAUACAACCCAUUUAAUUGAACUGAAUGUAAAUUGAUGUAACGCAUCUUUAAACUAAGUUUCAACAACGGAUCUCUUGGCUCUCGCAUCGAUGAAGAACGCAGCGAAAUGCGAUAAGUAAUGUGAAUUGCAGAAUUCAGUGAAUCAUCGAAUCUUUGAACGCACCUUGCGCUCCUUGGUAUUCCUUGGAGCAUGCCUGUUUGAGUAUCAUGAAAUUCUCAAAGUAAACCUUUUGUUAAUUCAACUGGUCUUUGCUUUGGAUUUGGAGGCCUUUGCAGAUGUCACAGUCUGCUCCUCUUAAAUAAAUUAGCUGGAUCUCAGUAUACACUUGGUUCCACUCGGCGCGAUAAGUAUCACUCGCUGAGGACACUGUUAAAAAGGUGGCCAGGCAAUGCAGAUAAACCGCUUCUAAUAGUCCAUUGACUUGGACAAAUUAAAAAUUUAUGAUCUGAUCUCAAAUCAGGUAGGACUACCCGCUGAACUUAAGCAUAUCAAUAAGCGGAGGA
Molecule: ribosomal RNA, 697 nt
Filed under: Rhizoctonia solani
Lineage: Eukaryota; Fungi; Basidiomycota; Agaricomycetes; Cantharellales; Ceratobasidiaceae
Description: eukaryotic LSU rRNA
Rfam family: 5.8S ribosomal RNA (bases 248-401)
Source: RNAcentral